This 276-nucleotide ribosomal RNA is filed under the name uncultured prokaryote. RNAcentral's name for it is "partial 16S ribosomal RNA". It matches the Rfam family "Bacterial small subunit ribosomal RNA", at positions 524 to 798 of the family's 1533-position model. The record is from RNAcentral.
CACGGGGGUUGCGAGCGUUGUCCGGAAUUACUGGGCGUAAAGGGCGCGCAGGCGGCCUGCCAAGUCAGAUGUGAAAUGCUAUGGCUUAACCAUGGACGUGCAUUUGAAACUGGUGGGCUUGAGUACCAGAGGGGAAGGUGGAAUUCCCGGUGUAGAGGUGAAAUUCGUAGAUAUCGGGAGGAAUACCGGUGGCGAAGGCGACUUUCUGGCUGGAUACUGACGCUGAGGCGCGAAGGCGUGGGGAGCAAACAGGAUUAGAUACCCGGGUAGGUCCCU